Long non-coding RNA from Physella acuta, 366 nucleotides. RefSeq lists it as uncharacterized. The record is from RefSeq and is a predicted model, not a curated record. NCBI's taxonomy places the organism in Eukaryota, Metazoa, Mollusca, Gastropoda, Physidae.
GUAGGAGAUUUUGGUUCUUAUUUAUCAAACAGUUUAGCUGUUAGAGGGAGUAUUUGCUGAGAAUUUAUACAUGUCAAUCUUUCCAAGAGUUUCGCGAUGAUUCUUUUGAGGCUUAUACCUUUGCUCACCCUUGCUUUUGCUCUUGAUUUCGGUCCUGACUGUGACCGUUAUGGAAUCUGCCUGAUGGUAAUGAGGCCAGUGUGCGGAAGUGACGGCAGGACCUACGGAAAUCUAUGUAUUUUAAACAUGCACAAAAUCUGCAACAAUGCCCUGAAUUUCGUUCACAGGGGCUAUUGCAAAAAACCCACAAUUUGGACACAGUACUGAGCUUUUGCUUUUAUUUUAGUAUUAAAUUCUGUGAACCAU